AGAAAAACAAGGUAAGAAUGUUAAAACUGCGCAACUGGUCAUUGGACAGGUUGGGCCAAUAUUCAUAAGUUUUGCACCUACUGAAAAGAACAAGAUCGGAAGCCGGUGGACCCAUACAUGUGAAAUUGGGGUCUUGUAGAGUUAACUUCACCAAAUCUCUAAUACAUGCAUUGACUGAAAUUAUUUUUUUCUUCUUCUUUUGGUUGAAUUGAAUAAAUUGGCUCUUAGUCAGUGUUUCGUGGCCUCUUCCAAAUUGCACAUACUGGUCUUGUCCACUUUCCGACAGUGUUUUAAGGGGACAGCAUUUUCCUUGAAUCGCCUUUGAAUAUAACUGAUCACAUGAACAGCAAAAACAAUGAUAAAUGAUGCAUGUCUUUAUACACUUGGUAGUAAUAGUACAUCAAACAAGUUUGGCUUGGACUUCUAGAGUUAAACGUCGUGUGGGCUGUCUACCAUAUGGAUAGAUAUCUCUGGUUCAUGCUCCCACGAGAGAAGAAACAUGCCAUGUUUGUUCAAAGCAAGUCCUUUCACGAUCCAUGUGAUGCGUUGGGUAGAGUUCAUUUAAGAUUUGACCACAACAAACACGUGUAGUGGGAUAAUUUGCAGUCCCCGAUGAUGUAGCCCUUCCCACAACACUGUCCCACCCUCCUAGUGGUGUGAUUUUUUUACAAGCCGCUUGGUUGACUGCAAUCAACCAACAAAUCCAUGUGCUUUAAAACCAGCUACACUUUGUACAUGCCAUAUGAGCUUUAGCCUUACGCUGACUGCUCUCCAGUGCAGUUUGAUGAAUUCAUUGCGGGUUGGGGCGUAGGGAUGUGGUACAAGAGAAAAAUGAAGUGGCUACCUAACAAGAUACCAUAGGAAGAACGUUAUCCCAUUCACUGUGCCAUGGCAGAUACAACCACCAUAACCAAAAGAAUGGAGAGA
RNAcentral lists this long non-coding RNA (927 nucleotides) under Theobroma cacao (cacao). Its description in RNAcentral is "long non-coding RNA (TCAC_LNC002147)". Lineage: Eukaryota; Viridiplantae; Streptophyta; Magnoliopsida; Malvales; Malvaceae. The record is from RNAcentral.